RNAcentral lists this ribosomal RNA (492 nucleotides) under uncultured bacterium. Its description in RNAcentral is "partial 16S ribosomal RNA". It matches the Rfam family "Bacterial small subunit ribosomal RNA", at positions 29 to 507 of the family's 1533-position model. The record is from RNAcentral.
AGUGAACGCUGGCGGCAGGCCUAACACAUGCAAGUCGAACGGCAGCACAGUAAGAGCUUGCUCUUACGGGUGGCGAGUGGCGGACGGGUGAGGAAUACAUCGGAAUCUACUUUUUCGUGGGGGAUAACGUAGGGAAACUUACGCUAAUACCGCAUACGACCUUCGGGUGAAAGCAGGGGAUCUUCGGACCUUGCGCGAUUGAAUGAGCCGAUGUCGGAUUAGCUAGUUGGCGGGGUAAAGGCCCACCAAGGCGACGAUCCGUAGCUGGUCUGAGAGGAUGAUCAGCCACACUGGAACUGAGACACGGUCCAGACUCCUACGGGAGGCAGCAGUGGGGAAUAUUGGACAAUGGGCGCAAGCCUGAUCCAGCCAUACCGCGUGGGUGAAGAAGGCCUUCGGGUUGUAAAGCCCUUUUGUUGGGAAAGAAAAGCAGCAGGUUAAUACCCCGCUGUUCUGACGGUACCCAAAGAAUAAGCACCGGCUAACUUCGUG